This 253-nucleotide ribosomal RNA is filed under the name uncultured bacterium. Its description in RNAcentral is "partial 16S ribosomal RNA". It matches the Rfam family "Bacterial small subunit ribosomal RNA", at positions 524 to 776 of the family's 1533-position model. The record is from RNAcentral.
UACAGAGGUCCCAAGCGUUGUUCGGAUUCACUGGGCGUAAAGGGUGCGUAGGUGGCCAGGUAAGUUCGGUGUGAAAGCUCGGAGCUUAACUCCGAAAUGGCAUUGAAUACUAUCUGGCUAGAGGGUCGGAGGGGAGACUGGAAUUCUCGGUGUAGCAGUGAAAUGCGUAGAUAUCGAGAGGAACACCAGUGGCGAAGGCGAAUCCCUGGAAAAUACCUGACACUGAGGCACGAAAGCUAGGGGAGCAAACAGG